UAACACAGGUGCUGCAUGGCUGUCGUCAGCUCGUGUCGUGAGAUGUUGGGUUAAGUCCCGCAACGAGCGCAACCCUUGUCAUUAGUUGCUACAUUUAGUUGGGCACUCUAAUGAGACUGCCGGUGACAAACCGGAGGAAGGUGGGGAUGACGUCAAGUCCUCAUGGCCCUUAUAGGUGGGGCUACACACGUCAUACAAUGGCUGGUACAAAGGGUUGCCAACCCGCGAGGGGGAGCUAAUCCCAUAAAGCCAGUCGUAGUCCGGAUCGCAGUCUGCAACUCGACUGCGUGAAGUCGGAAUCGCUAGUAAUCGUGGAUCAGAAUGUCACGGUGAAUACGUUCCCGGGUCUUGUACACACCGCCCGUCACACCAUGGGAGCGGGUUCUGCCAGAAGUAGUUAGCCUAACCGCAAGGAGGGCGAUUACCACGGCAGGGUUCGUGACUGGGGUGAAGUCGUAACAAGGUAACC
RNAcentral lists this ribosomal RNA (469 nucleotides) under uncultured beta proteobacterium. Its description in RNAcentral is "bacterial SSU rRNA". It matches the Rfam family "Bacterial small subunit ribosomal RNA", at positions 1030 to 1501 of the family's 1533-position model. Lineage: Bacteria; Pseudomonadati; Pseudomonadota; Betaproteobacteria. The record is from RNAcentral.